This 9673-nucleotide long non-coding RNA is filed under the name Gossypium barbadense (sea-island cotton). RNAcentral's name for it is "long non-coding RNA (GBAR_LNC016594)". The record is from RNAcentral. Lineage: Eukaryota; Viridiplantae; Streptophyta; Magnoliopsida; Malvales; Malvaceae.
GUUUUAUUGUAUCUUGAAAGCAUUUUUAAAUUUUUAAGGGAAUGUAUUUACACGCUUUAAAACUGUUAUAUUUUAGUAAUAUUGUUUUACUUUUCUUAUUUCAAUUUUUCUAUUUAACUUUUGUAACAAUUGUAAUAAGCCCAAUUGGCCCGGGCCCUUUACAAAACAAAAAUGGGCAGUCCAAGCCCAAUAAUCCUAAACCUAGCCCAACUAACAUCCCAAAUUCCCCAAACCCUAGCCGCAUGUUUGCUCAGCGCCUCCAGCACUCUCUAGUUGUCGCACGUCUCGGAGCCUCUUCCCUGCGCCGUAAUCUCCACGAAUACCUGCAUAACAGAUUCAAAGAGUCCAAUAGAGAAAUAAUAGGGUAAAGAAAUCAGUUUCGGGCUAUAUAUAAAGCCGUGUUAUUCUGUAAAAGAGGGGGAAUUUUCGGUAAAAGAUAUAUGAAAAUAGAGAGGAAAAUACAAAGAAAAACUGAAUACCAGUACUUUUCUUCGAAUACAAGGGUGAUUUUUAUUUCGUUUUACUUUGUAGUGUUGUUGUUCUUUCAUUCUUAUUUGAAUAUAUACAUAUAUUUUACAUAUUUUUUUUUAUUUUUUUACUUAAAAUAAAAAAGGAAAGCCUACCUUUUCACCGGAGCCACCGUGCCGCCACCAUCUCCGUCGCAAUCGGGGCUUGGGUGAAGGAGCAGGUGAUCGGCGACGCUAAAAAGGUUGAAGAAACCCUAGUAGGGUGAAUAAAAGGGCAGCAUUUAGUUUUAUUUUUUUAAAAUGGGCUAUCAGAAUUUUAAAAGGGAAAAUUUUGAUUUAAAUAGUGUUACAAAAAACGGCGCCGUUUCACCAAGGAGGAUCCGCAUGUUCUGCCCUUAAAUGGGAUAUUUUUGCUAUGGGUCCUUCCUUUUUGUGGCGCACUUCAAUUAAAUCCUUUUUUAUUUCUUUUAAUUUUAGCCUCACAUUUCGUUUCUGUCUCAAUUUAGUCCAUCACCGCACAACAUUUUAUGGACGGGAUUAAUUUCGCUUUUAGUCCUCCAUUGUUAGGCGAAUUUCCAAAUUAGUUUUUUUUUUAAAUUUAUUUCAAAUUUGCCCCCAUUUCCGUUUUAAUUCAAUUUGGAUCAUUUUUUUUCUUCAAUUAUUUCUUUUUUUAUCAUUAUACCAUUAUUAGUAUUAUUAUAUUACUUACUGUGAUAUUUACUGCCACAUUUUCUAUACCUGUACAUAUGCGUACUUUAUAUAGGCAUGUUUUUAUAUAUAUAUAUAUAUAUUUUCUAAGCUUUUGAAAUUCGUAUAUAUUAUAUAAGUACAUAUUGUUUUAUAGUUUAUAUACACUUACAUUUUAUACUUCAUUUUUUAUAUACCUUUAUAUACAUACAGAUUUUCACACACAUAUGUUUUUUUUCCAUAGUUUAUUUAUAUAUUAUAUUUAUAUAUAUAUUGUUCUUUUAUUGUAAAUAUAUACGCAUAUACAUACGUUUUCAUUUUUUUUUCUACUUUUAUAUACUUUAUAUAUAUAUAUGCUAAUACAUUUUCCUUAUUAUUGAAAGUAUAUACACAUCUGCAUGUUUUUAUACUCUUAUUUUAUGGUCAUUACAUAUAUACAAGUAUAUUUUUAGGAAUUGUUAUAGGUUUGCAGUAUAUUUCUUCACUUACCUUUUCAUGUAUUCCUAUAUUUAUGCAUGUUAAAUAUGUGUGUACACAUAUUCGCAAAGCUUGUAUAUUGCACUUGUAUAUAUAUUUUGUAAAUACAUUCUCAUAUAUGUCUUACAUUAAAGUUUUUGUUUCAUAUCGUACAUUAACUUUAACAUACCCUUUUAGAAAAUACAUUUUGGUUUUAACUAUACAUCAAGAUUAUUUUCUUGAUUCAACUGUUUUUUUUUUGAAUAAAAACAAUAUUUGAAGUUUGGGAUUGAUGAGGGAAAUUGAGCCCUAACGUAUUGGGUUCUGAUUUUCUUUGUUAGUCUUGAAUAAUUGAGAAUAUUCUUUAUUUUAAAUACAGGAGCACCAAAAAAAAUCAUUUUUGGGAACUUAAUUUGUUAUGCCCUAACGUAUUGGGUGUGACAUAUUACUUUCUCAAAAUAGAGAUUUUCGCAUAAAAUAAAAGUGAUAUUCAAAGUUCGGGGAUUAUGAGGAAUUGUACCCUAACGUAUUGGGACUCGAUUUCUUUACAUGACUUGAACAAUUGGUUAUCCUUUUGCAAAUUUCAUCAUUCAAGCUUAUUUUAAAAUCUUUUUAACUUUCGACACUAGGACAUCAAAUAAUCAAUUUGGUAUCGAUUUUUGGGCGUUACGAGGGUGCUAACCCUUCCUCGUGCGUAACUGACUCCCGAACCUUUUUUCUAAAAAUUCGCAGACCAAAAUCGUUUUUAAGGUGAGUCGAUCACACCUCAAUCAAGGAUCGGUGGCGACUCCAAUUUUUGUUUUUUUAAAGUCGACAACUUAAAUUUUUGUUUUCAAAAAAACGGUUUUGACAGCUUGGCGACUCCACUGGGGACAUUAGAGAGUCGAGCCACAAAAUUGAUUAUGUUUGUCUUUGUGUCGAAAAUCAAAAGUUUUUAAAUAAUUCAUGAGUUCCCUUCGCACUCAUUGAUUUUUCAUCAUGGUGUUGGCAACUUUGCAUUUGCAUUUUACCCUUUAAGUGGGAGCGAGAAACUAGCCCUUCGUGAGGUUUUCACCACCGUGCAGGGUAGUGGACCGCUUCCGGGAUACAUCCGUACCUAUGUCUUCGUGAGAUUUUCAUUUCCGUGCAGCCAUAAGGAAAUGUAUCCCUCUGAACUGAACUCGAUCCACAUGAGCCUAUAAUGGGUGAGGAUCGAGGAAUCUGCUGGUUCAAGAACCCUUACUCUAGAAACUAAGCCUCAUAUAGUGAGCUUUAGGAACUUACCCUAGGUAGAAGUACUCUAAACCUUAGUAGAUACCUGACUAGGAGUUUUUAUUAUUUCUUAAUUGUAUUGGAUUUAAUGUUUAUACUUGAUACUGACUUGGGUUUAUUUUGUUUUGAUUGCAUGACAUCAUGAUUACAUUACAUUUUCAUUAUAGAAAAGAGGUGUUGAUUCACAUUCGAUUACUAACUUAGAAAGCUUGUCAUGGAAUACGGAUUUCUUGAUAAAGUGGAAAAUAAUAUGGUUGCCUGAAUAUAUUCCAAGAAACACAAGAAGGGCGACAGAAGUGUUCGUGACUUUACUUCAUUGCCCGAGGAUUCAAGCUGAUUAUUCAAAAGUUUUCGAUAAUCUAACUUCCUUAAAGAAGCCGAUGAGCAUUAUGAAGAUGGGCAGAUGAUGGAUAUCAACCAAGAUUAAACAAAAAGAGAUAGAAGAGACGCUCCUUUUAAAGAAUUCGCAAGGUUUAUCCUAGCAUCCGGAUGGAGAAGGAGAAGAUGUCUUCGGCUGGAAUAUGAGGGCAAAGCCGUAUAUAUAUCUGCUUUAUGUAAAGAAAUUUGUCUUCUAGUAAAGUUUUUUAAAUGUAAUUGAAUCAAAGUUAACAUCUCUUUAGGCCUUCAUUUCGUGCAUUUGCAUUACAUGACAUAGUAUGCAUUAACGUCCACUAAAAGAGCCUAAUCGAUAAAAUCAUUGCUCAGUUAACCUGGAAACCAACCAACCAACCAAGCACCGUUACGGCACUCGAGCAAAGAUUAAAGAUAUGGAUCACAGGUUGGAAAAACUCCAACAGUGUCAGAAGGAGAUGCAAGACCGACUUCAGCUACAGGUGCAAGAGCGGUUAGACAAGAUGAAACAAGAGAUGUCUGAGAAGAUGUGAGAAUCCCAAGAUGAUAUUAUGGCGAAGCUAACCAAACUGUUGACUAGAGGAGAUGAUAAGGGAAAGGGUCCCAUGGCUGAUGUCGAAGUGGGUAAUGAACCACUCUAUCCUCCAGGCUUUACUCCUCCACAUGUUCGAACUCAAGCUGAAUAUCCAUACAAACCCACUGUCACAAUCAGGCAUCAACAGUCCCAGGCCAGUGUUUCGAACUUUCAAGCUAGAUUGGGCUCUAACCCCGAAAAUUACCCUGUUAACUCUGCCAUUCCCGACUUCGAUGAAGUGGCUGAAAAGGAAAGAAUAAAGGAGGAGUUACCGAAACAGUUAGAGGAAAAGUGUAGGUGGCUCGAGGAAAAGUUUAAGGCGAUGGAGGUCACUGAGAGUUAUCGAGGCAUUGACGCCAAAAAGCUGAGUUUAGUACCGGAUUUGGUACUCCCUCAUAAAUUUAAGAUGCCAAAAUUUGAGAAGUACAAUGGGACAAGUUGCCCAGAAGCUCAUAUCACCAUGUUCUGCAGGCGAAUGGCCAGAUAUGUUAGCAAUGACCAGCUUUUGGUACAUUGUUUCCAGGAUAGCCUAGUAAGGGCAGCAUCCAAGUGGUACAAUCAACUGAGCCGUACCAUGAUUGGUUCAUGGAGGGAUUUGGCACAAGCGCUCAUGAAAUAAUAUAGCCAUGUAGCAGAGAUGGCUCCUGAUAGAAUCACCCUUCAAAAUAUACAGAAAAACCGAGCGAAAGCUUUAGACAAUAUGCACAAAGAUGGAGGAAAGUCGCAGUCCAAGUUCAGCCACCGCUCUUAGAGAAAGAAAUGACCAUGCUGUUUAUUAACACACUGAAGGCACCGUUCAUUACGCAUAUGUUAAGGAGUGCUACAAAAAGCUUUCCUGAUAUAGUUAUGAAUGGAGAGAUGAUCGAGGAUGCCAUAAGAAGUGGGAAAAUUGAUGUAGAGGAGAGUAACACGAGAUCAAUCUCAAGGAAAAGAGAAAAUGAGGUGAACAACACGAGUUACUCUAAACCAGUUAUUGUGAGUCAGCCAAGAAAGGUGGCUACUAACCAACAAGGUUUAUUAAGAUAAGAAUCUAGAAUGAAACCAGGUACUGAGAAGCUCCAGUUCACACCAAUUCCGAUGUCGUAUAAGGAACUGUAUCAAAAUUUGUUUGAUGCACAUGUUGUUUCCCCUUUUCAUGUGAAGCCUCUACAACCUCCGUAUCCCGAAUGGUAUGAUGCGAACGCACAAUGUGAAUACCAUGCGGGAAUUAAGGGGUACUCCUUUGAGAAUUGCACUACCUUCAAGAAGUAAGUUGAAAGACUUAUCAACAUGGGUAUUGUCAAGUUUGGUGACUCGUCUAGCGCAGAAAAUCCGCUACCCAAUCAUGAUUAAGGAUGGAGGGACUGCAAUGUAUGAGAAAGUGGUGAGAAAUUUACACAUCGAUGCCAUAUAUGCAGAUACAAUUAAAAGGGUCAUUGUUAGAUAUCCGCUUUAGAGGUGUUCUAAAUAAUGGGACUGGAGAGGAAACCCCUGAAAUAUUUAGAGUCUAUUAGAGUAAUGUUCAGAACACACUUGUUGUUUUUAGCCUAGAGGCAAUAAGAAUUCCUUUAUGAAAUAUGCUCACGUCUGAAUAUUCUUAUUUUAAUGAAUACAUUAUUGCAAUCAUCUUUGAGCAAAUGUUCUUUCAGUCUUUACGUUUUCUUCGUUCUUUUUGAUUUUUUCUGCCAAACCAUUCAUUCGUUCAUUCAUAUUAUUCAUACAUUCUUUUGUAUAUUCUUUGGUACCCAUUAUGGGUCCCCAAAUAUCAAUGACAUGAGUGACGCUGCUACAGACCCAGAAUCUCCUCUUGAGUGAGACAUGUGUUUAGAGGGAUCUCACAACUUUGAGGAUGACAUGGAUUGUAGCUUAUUUCUGGACUUAUUAAGGAUGGUAGAGCAGGAAGAAAAUUUUACCUCAUGAGGAGACAAUAGAAACUGUGACCUUGAGGGAACAUGCAUGAUCGAAAAAACAAAGCAAGACGUUGUUGAGUUACUUCAAGCAUUCAAAGAUGCCUUCGCAUGGUCAUACCAGGAUGUACCCAGUUUAAGCACUGUCAUUACAAUUUGAACAACAGCCCGAUAUCAGGAAUUUGUAGUAUGUUCAAGGUGAAUACCAUGAAUGGUGCAGUGAAAACUCUACCGGGGCAAUGCCACUCUUUUCAGUUUAUCACGCUUUUUCAUUAAAGUUAAAAUUCCUUCUUUUCGAGUUCUGACUGAGCUGAAGUAGGAUAAAGAUCCAAUCUCGACACGAUUAGUUGAACUUAAUUGAAGAAAAAGGCUAGAAACUAUUCAUCAGGGUCAGAUGUACCAAGAAUGAACGAUGCGAGCCUAUAGCAAAAGGUUUGUCCCAGAGAAUUCCACGAUGGCAACCUAAUGCUGAAGAAUGUCCCCACUCUACAAAAAAAUAUAACGGAUGCCAAAUUGGGUAGAACAUUAUGUUAUAGAGAAGGUCUUUUCCAAAGGAGCUUUGAUUUUGAGCGAGAUGGAUGAUAAACCUGUAAAGUCUUGUAAACUCAGAUUCAGUCAGGAAAUACUCUGCUUAAAGAAGGAGAUGACCAAGGUAAAAACCCGCAAAGGGCACUUUGAGUCAUUAAAAAUGAUGAAAUGAAAAAAUGAAAAGAUAAAAAUAAAAAAUGAAAAAAGUAAAAUGGAGAGGCUAAGGUGAAAUCCCGCAAAGGGCACCUUAGACCAAAGGGGAUUUGAGUUGAAAACCCGAAAAGGGUGGCUCAAAUAUUGAUCAGAAUGUGGCAUGAGAUUAUCGGAGUAGCUCAAAUACUGAUCAGCAUGGGGCAUACAGUGGUCUUGCUAUACUUGAAUCAACAGGAAAGGGUAGGCGACAUUUUGGGGCAUCAAAAAAGUACUGUAGAUCUCCUAAACACAUGUCAAACUCAGAAUGAUUUUCAGAAAGUCUGUACAGCAAAGUUCAAGCUGCGAUAUCUGGGGCACCUAAUCCUUAUACUAUUUUUGUUAUUCUUGGAACACUUUAUUCAUUUCCAAGAUACGCAUUCCUAAAUCAAUGUCUUUGUUAUCCAUCUUUAUUAUCUCUGAUAAUUUAUUCAUUUCGAGUUAUGCUCAGAACCAAUUCAAUUUUAUCCAUCAUUUUGUUCUCUUUGCAAGUGUGUUGCAUUAUAGUAAUGAUUAAUAGACUAAUACAACUUUCACAAGGGAAGUUUUGCAUAUUACUCUAGAAGUUUCUAAAUAAUAUAGGAACCUUAAACAGGACUAUUGUUUAGAACGCACCAAGUUCAAAGGUUGGAAAUCUAAUAAGGAAGAGUCUAAAUUAAUACUAUCCCUUUGAAUUUUGUUGUCUAAAACAUCGAUUGAACAAAAUGGCAAUAUGUCGUGUUGGUGACAAAGCUUAGAUUAACAAGCAAGCAAUGAUCACCGAAUAAUAAUAAGAAGUUGUUCUUGGAGAAGAAAAUUUUUCAUUUGUGCACGAGCAUUUGGUAGGACACCUAGGGAAUGGUGUAAGAGACCAAAGAGUUUCACAUCCUGUAUCCCUGAAUUGUGAUAACAGAUGAUUAAGAAAAUGCCAAAUCUUUUUACUCUUGGGUUACAACGGGAGAAAGAUGGUACAAAUUUUGCGCCCUAAUAGAUCAAACUUGGAGGUUUACAAUGGGGGGCAAUCUGGUCAAGUGUUUCUUUAGAGACGCCAACUGAGCAAGAAGACGCUAUAACACAUUAGCGAUGAAACUUUAACUUUGAGUAAUGAUAGCCUAAGUGAUAAAGAAGGAUCAUUCUCAAAACAUGACAUUCUGCAUUCAUUCAAAUAUCAUUCAUACACGUCUAGUUAGGAGCAUUUGAUUCAUUCUGAUCAUGUCAUCCUAAUCACUAGGCAUAAUUAGGUUCAUAAAUUGAAUUAUACAGGUCAUGUUCCCCAGAGAAUAAACUGGCAAAACCAUAGAUCUUACUUCCUUAGCAGUGCAAUGAAACAGAUUGAAGCUACGACGGCGGAUCUGGUUUUCCUGAUAUUGUAAUUAAAAAGAUUGAAGCCACAACGGCGGAUCUUACUUCCUUAGCAGUGCAGUGGAACAGAUUGAAGCUACGACGGCGGAUCUGGUUUCCCUGAUAUUGCAAUUAAAAAGAUUGAAGCCACAACGGUGGAUCUUACUUCCUUAGCAGUGCAGUGGAACAGAUUGAAGCUACGACGGCGGAUCUGGUUUCCCUGAUAUUGUAAUUAAAAAGAUUGAAGCCACAACGGCGGAUCUUCCCUCCUUAAUAGCGCAAUGGAAUAGAUUGAAACUACGACGGCGGAUCUAGUUUUCCCGACAUUGCAGUUGAGUAGAUGAAGAUUACAGAUCUUAUCUCCCUAAGCAGUAGUGGAGCAGAUCAAAGAUGGCAGAUUUUACCUCCCUGAGGUUGCAGAGGAGUAUAUUGAAGCCAGUAAUUUUAUUCCCCCAGUCGGUAGUGGAAUUGAUCGAAGAAAGCAGAUCUUGUCUUCAUGUACUGGCAUGAAGUAGAUCAAAGAAACAUAUCUUGUCUCCCCAUACUGGUGGUGGAGUAGAUAGAAGAAAAUAGAUCUUAUCUUCAUGUACUGGCGUGAAGUAGAUCAAAGAUAGUAGGUCCUGUCUUCCUAUAUCGGUAGCGAAGUGGAUCGAAUAUACAGAUUUUAUCUUCCCAUACUGGUGGCGAAGUAGAUAAAGAUUACAGAUCUUAUCUCCCUAAGCAGUAGUGGAGCAGAUUAAAGAUGGCAGAUUUUACCUCCCUGAGGUUGCAGAGGAGUAUAUUGAAGCCAGUAAUUCUAUUCCCCCGGUCGGCAGUGGAAUUGAUCGAAGAAAGUAGAUCUUGUCUUCAUGUAUUGGCGUGAAGUAGAUCGAAAAAAGCAGAUCUUGUCUUCCCAUACUGGUGGUGAAGUAGAUCGAAGAUACAAGUCUUAUCUUCCUGAAGUUGCAGUGGAGCAGACAAAAGUAACCAAUCCUAUCUCUUUGAAGUUGCAAUCGAGUGGAUUAAAACCGCAGAUCUCAUCUCUCUGAAGUUGCAGUAGAGCAGAUCACAUCAGAUUUACCCUUAAGUUGUAACAGAACAAGUUGAAGCUAUAAGUCUUAUCCCCCUGAAGCUGCAGUGGAGCAGACUAAAGAUAGUAAAUUUUGUUCUUUCUGAGAAGUUGCAACGUACGAAACCUAUCUCCCUGACAUUGUAGUGGAGUAGAUUGGAGCACCAGUUCCUAUACCUCUGAAGAUGCAGUAGGAAGGAACGAGGCUACUUGAAGAAGAGAAGCAUUGAAUAAGACCAGGCACAAUUGGGCGUUGUAGUCUUUGCUCUAUUCCCGUUACACGAAAAUGAGCAAAGAGGGGCAACUGUAAUAAGCCCAAUUGGUCCGGGCCCUUUACAAAACAAAAAUGGGCAGUCCAAGCCCAAUAAUCCCAAACCUAGCCCAACUAACAUCCCAAAUUCCCCAAACCCUAGCCGCAUGUUUGCUCAGCGCCUCCAGCACUCUCUAGUUGCCGCACGUCUCGGAGCCUCUUCCUUACGCCGUAAUCUCCAUGAAUACCUGCAAAACAGAUUCAAAGAGUCCAAUAGAGAAAUAAUAGGGUAAAGAAAUCAGUUUCAGGCUAUAUAUAAAGUCGUGUUAUUCUGUAAAAGAUGGGGAAUUUUCGGUAAAAGAUAUACGAAAAUAGAGGGGAAAAUACAAAGAAAAACUGAAUACCAGUACUUUUCUUCGAAUACAAGGGUGAUUUUUAUUUCGUUUUACUUUGUAGUGUUGCUGUUCUUUCAUUCUUAUUUAAAUAUAUACAUAUAUUUUACAUAUUUUUUAUUUAUUUUUUUACUUAAAAUAAAAAAGGAAAGCCUACCUUUUCGCCGGAGCCAUCGUGCCGCCACCAUCACCGUCGCAAUCGGGGCUUGGGUGAAGGAGCAGGUGAUCGGCGGCGCUAAAAGGGUUGAAGAAACCCUAGCAGGGUGAAUAAAAG